AGUGAACGCUGGCGGUAUGCCUAACACAUGCAAGUCGAACGGCAGCACAGUAAUAGCUUGCGCUGACGGGUGGCGAGUGGCGGACGGGUGAGGAAUACAUCGGAAUCUACUUUUUCGGGUGAGAUAAGGUAGGUAAACUUACUCUAAUAUCGCAUACGACCUACGGGUGAAAGCAUGGGAUCUUCUGACCGGGCGCGAUUGAAUGAGCCGAUGUCGGAUUAGCUAGUUGGCGGGGUAAAGGCCCACCAAUGCGACGAUCGGUAGCUGGUCUGAGAGGAUGGUCAGCCACACUGGAACUGAGACACGGCACAGAAUCUUACGUGAGGCAGAAGUGGGGAAGAGUGGAAAAUGUGCGGAAGCUUGCUCCAGCCACACCGCGUGGGUGCAGAAGGCCUUCGGGUGGUAAAGCCCUUUUGUUGGGAAAGAAAACCAGCAGGUUAAACCAACGCUGUUCUGACGGUACCGAAAGAAUAAGAACCGGCUAAUUCCGG
RNAcentral lists this ribosomal RNA (491 nucleotides) under uncultured bacterium. RNAcentral describes it as "partial 16S ribosomal RNA". It matches the Rfam family "Bacterial small subunit ribosomal RNA", at positions 29 to 506 of the family's 1533-position model. The record is from RNAcentral.